Molecule: unclassified non-coding RNA, 196 nt
Filed under: uncultured Umbelopsis
Lineage: Eukaryota; Fungi; Mucoromycota; Umbelopsidomycetes; Umbelopsidales; Umbelopsidaceae
Description: sequence contains ITS2
Source: RNAcentral
GCACUCUCACACCUAACCUUUGGGUUAUGAUGUGGAAUUGGGAUGCGCCGAUUUUCACUAAUCGGCACUCCUAAAAUGUAGCUCUUGGCUGUUUCCUACUACAGCAGUUUGGCCUAAUAGUUUUGACUUUUGUCAAAUCUUUGGCUACAUUUGCUUCUGGAAAUCAGUCUUGAUAAUACAGAAAACUCAUUUCAAA